UAAACUAUGCCAGCCAGCGUUCCGGCUGUGUUCCUCAAAUGACACGCCGGGCAGCUUCCGGGAAACCAAAAGCUUUUGGGUUCCGGGGGAAGUAUGGUUGCAAAGCUGAAACUUAAAGGAAUUGACGGAAGGGCACCACCAGACAUGGAGCCUGCGGCUCAAUUUGACUCAACACGGGAAAAUUUAUCUGGUCCGGACACAGGAAGGAUUGACAGAUUAAGAGCUCUUUCUUGAUUCUGUGGGUUGUGGUGCAUGGCCGUUCUUAGUUGGUGGAGCGAUUUGUCUGGUUAAUUCCGAUAACGAACGAGACUCUAGCCUAUUAAAUAGACGUCCCUAUGUCUUUUACGAAUGGGGCGGUUCUUCUUAGAGGGACAAGCGGCUUUUAGCCGCACGAGACAGAGCAAUAACAGGUCUGAGAUGCCCUUAGAUGUCCGGGGCCGCACGCGCGCUACAUUGAAGGAAUCAGCGUGUGCUUUCCCGGUCCUACUGGAUCGGGUAACCCCUUGAAUCUCCUUCGUGCUGGGGAUAGGGGCUUGUAAUUGUUCCCCUUGAACGAGGAAUGCCCAGUAAGCGCGAGUCAUUAGCUCGUGUUGAUUACGUCCCUGCCCUUUGUACACACCGCCCGUCGCUACUACCGAUUGAUUGUCUUAGUGAGGUCUUCAGACUGGCGCCCGGAUUGGCCUUCUCGGUUAA
Molecule: ribosomal RNA, 693 nt
Filed under: Pimoa cthulhu
Lineage: Eukaryota; Metazoa; Arthropoda; Arachnida; Araneae; Pimoidae
Description: SSU rRNA
Rfam family: Eukaryotic small subunit ribosomal RNA
Source: RNAcentral